Molecule: ribosomal RNA, 506 nt
Filed under: uncultured bacterium
Lineage: Bacteria
Description: bacterial SSU rRNA
Rfam family: Bacterial small subunit ribosomal RNA
Source: RNAcentral
GACGAACGCUGGCGGCGUGCCUAAUACAUGCAAGUCGAACGCACUCUCGUUUAGAUUGAAGGAGCUUGCUCCUGAUUGAUAAACAUUUGAGUGAGUGGCGGACGGGUGAGUAACACGUGGGUAACCUGCCCUAAAGUGGGGGAUAACAUUUGGAAACAGAUGCUAAUACCGCAUAAAACCUAAACACCGCAUGGUGUAGGGUUGAAAGAUGGUUUCGGCUAUCACUUUAGGAUGGACCCGCGGUGCAUUAGUUAGUUGGUGAGGUAAAGGCUCACCAAGACCGUGAUGCAUAGCCGACCUGAGAGGGUAAUCGGCCACACUGGGACUGAGACACGGCCCAGACUCCUACGGGAGGCAGCAGUAGGGAAUCUUCCACAAUGGACGAAAGUCUGAUGGAGCAACGCCGCGUGAGUGAAGAAGGUUUUCGGAUCGUAAAACUCUGUUGUUGGAGAAGAAUGUAUCUGAUUGUAACUGAUCAGGUAGUGACGGUAUCCAACCAGAAAGCC